RNA transcript from Ipomoea nil (Japanese morning glory), 876 nucleotides. RefSeq lists it as uncharacterized. The record is from RefSeq and is a predicted model, not a curated record. The transcript is spliced from 4 exons. NCBI's taxonomy places the organism in Eukaryota, Viridiplantae, Streptophyta, Magnoliopsida, Solanales, Convolvulaceae.
CUCAUAAAUUUGAGGAAGUAUAGUAAGGAACAGUUUCUAGCCUUUGUAUUUGAGUUUCUGUCAUUUAUCUUAUCUCUUAAUCCUUGAUUUUUCUAUAUUUGUAUCCUCAUAAUAUAUUAGAUUAACUAACCACUAAUUCUUAUGUUGGAAGAUCUGUACAUAUUUAGACCUGUAUAUCUUUUACCUACCACUGUAUAGUAGCCAGAAAAAAUCUAAAAUUCAAAUAUCAUUGUAUAACUUUUUCUUGACAAUUGUUUUAGGCACAUAGAGAGCUAGCACGUGAAGCUGUACACAAGUCCUUAGUUUUACUAAAGAAUGCCAAGAAGAUCCUUGUUGCAGGAACCCAUGCUGAUGAUCUUGGUCACCAGUGUGGAGGCUGGACAUUAACCUGGUUGGGAACCAGCGGCAGAAUCACAAUUGGCACAACCAUUUUGGAUGCACUAAAAGAAGUGAUGGGAGACAAAACAGAAAUAAUCUUUGAGCCAUCUCCUUCAGAAGAAACCUUUAGUGGUCAAGACUUCUCAUAUGCCAUUAUGGCUGUUGGAGAGACUCCAUAUGCACAAACUGCCGGUAUGACCCAGAACUCAAAAUCCCAUUGAAUGGAUCUGACAUUGUUCGGUCCAUUUAAAUGGUGUGGCAACAUUGAUUGGUAUGGUUGGCCUUAUAGUAGCUUUAGUUGUUCUGCUUGUACUUAUGAUCAGGUUACCAUUGUGGUUGUGGCAGUACCCGAAGGAUUUCCCUUAGAUGUCACUCUUAUGUAAGUUCAUUCUAUUUUGACAAUAAUACUGUUAAAGUUUGAGUAGUUCUUUGCAUAGCUGCUUCAUUUGAAGGGUCAGUUGUAUCUAUUUAUCACUUUCACUUCCCGAUUGUGUUUUC